UCUUAGCUCAGCUGGUAGAGCAUGAGACUCUUAAUAUCGGGGUCAUGGAUUCAAGCCCCACGCUGGGCAAAA
Molecule: non-coding RNA, 72 nt
Organism: Podarcis lilfordi (Lilford's wall lizard)
Lineage: Eukaryota; Metazoa; Chordata; Lepidosauria; Squamata; Lacertidae
Source: the annotation of a GenBank genome assembly